Molecule: ribosomal RNA, 765 nt
Filed under: uncultured Streptococcus sp.
Lineage: Bacteria; Bacillati; Bacillota; Bacilli; Lactobacillales; Streptococcaceae
Description: bacterial SSU rRNA
Rfam family: Bacterial small subunit ribosomal RNA
Source: RNAcentral
GACGAACGCUGGCGGCGUGCCUAAUACAUGCAAGUAGAACGCUGAAGAGAGGAGCUUGCUCUUCUUGGACGAGUUGCGAACGGGUGAGUAACGCGUAGGUAACCUGCCUUGUAGCGGGGGAUAACUAUUGGAAACGAUAGCUAAUACCGCAUAACAAUAGGUGACACAUGUCAUUUAUUUGAAAGGGGCAAUUGCUCCACUACAAGAUGGACCUGCGUUGUAUUAGCUAGUAGGUGAGGUAACGGCUCACCUAGGCGACGAUACAUAGCCGACCUGAGAGGGUGAUCGGCCACACUGGGACUGAGACACGGCCCAGACUCCUACGGGAGGCAGCAGUAGGGAAUCUUCGGCAAUGGGGGCAACCCUGACCGAGCAACGCCGCGUGAGUGAAGAAGGUUUUCGGAUCGUAAAGCUCUGUUGUAAGUCAAGAACGAGUGUGAGAGUGGAAAGUUCACACUGUGACGGUAGCUUACCAGAAAGGGACGGCUAACUACGUGCCAGCAGCCGCGGUAAUACGUAGGUCCCGAGCGUUGUCCGGAUUUAUUGGGCGUAAAGCGAGCGCAGGCGGUUUGAUAAGUCUGAAGUUAAAGGCUGUGGCUCAACCAUAGUUCGCUUUGGAAACUGUCAAACUUGAGUGCAGAAGGGGAGAGUGGAAUUCCAUGUGUAGCGGUGAAAUGCGUAGAUAUAUGGAGGAGCACCGGUGGCGAAAGCGGCUCUCUGGUCUGUAACUGACGCUGAGGCUCGAAAGCGUGGGGAGCGAACAGG